Molecule: ribosomal RNA, 253 nt
Filed under: uncultured bacterium
Lineage: Bacteria
Description: partial 16S ribosomal RNA
Rfam family: Bacterial small subunit ribosomal RNA
Source: RNAcentral
UACGUAGGGGGCAAGCGUUGUCCGGAAUCAUUGGGCGUAAAGCGCGUGUAGGCUGACCGGAAAGUCGGGCGUGAAAUCCCUGGGCUCAACCCAGGAACUGCACUCGAAACUCCCGGUCUUGAGUGGUGGAGAGGGAAGUGGAAUUCCUGGUGUAGAGGUGAAAUUCGUAGAUAUCAGGAGGAACACCAGUGGCGAAGGCGGCUUCCUGGACACCAACUGACGCUGAGACGCGAAAGCGUGGGGAGCAAACAGG